This is a long non-coding RNA of Pygocentrus nattereri (red-bellied piranha), 1073 nucleotides long. The record is from Ensembl. NCBI's taxonomy places the organism in Eukaryota, Metazoa, Chordata, Actinopteri, Characiformes, Serrasalmidae.
AUGUCAUGGCAAGAAAAGAAAAUCUCCCUAAAAGGACCUAUGGAUGAGGUGUCACCGGACAUCACGCGACCCCCACCGGAGUUGAUAGACGGGGCUCCGGUAUACGCUGUUUGUAGGUUACUGGACUCUGGUCCAGAGGAGCAGUGUUGGGUGCCAGCAAAAAAUGUCUUGGAUCCAGGUCUGAUUGAGGAUUUCCAUCCAGAGAAGCAUGCUCCACAUCUCAGGGGUCGCCCUCCCUGUCUCCCUUCUGGACCACUUGCAGAGAAAGUGAGAUCGACGCCCAUCAGUUCAGUGACUCGCCAGCUCUGGGUAUACCCCUGUUCAGGGAUCUGAUGGGGGGCUUGGUGGUCAUCCUGGUCGUCCUUGUGCCAAGGCCCACGAGGACUCUUUGGAGAGGGGUUCAUGCAGACAAUCCUCCAGAGGACAUGAAAUCCAUUUCCCAGACUCCUCAGUGAACUCAUGUGACUACAGAUAUUUCUUUACCAUCCUAUUAGCAGUCAAGGUCACCUGAGUAUUAAUGUGACUCAUGUUAGUAUAGAAGCCCCGGCUUUAGACUAGAUCACUGUGAAGUAUUGCUUUCACUUGGAUUCUCUUGGAUUUGACCCAUGCUGAUUUAUUGACGACUCUUUGCAUUAUUGAUUCCCCAAAGUAAAGUUUCAGUAAUUGGUUUCUAACCGCAAGCGUCUGCUUUCUGAUCUCACGUCACAGGUUGUAACAAAAAAACUUACAUUGCCACAGUUUUCAUCAGUUUUCCUCCAAAUUGCCAUUUAUUGUUACUUUGAAAGCUCUUUUUGUACAUCUCAGCUUAUGAUCAGUAUAAUUGUGAUGUGAAAAAUGAUUGCCUUAGCAAACCUUUACCAGAAGUGUGUUCUGCCUUUUUUCUUUUUCAAAUAACAAAGUUAGCACUGAAAACAAACGCAGUAAGAAAAAAAGAACUGAAUUAUUUCCAAGAAUAAGACACUGAGUGAGACUUGGCAGAAAAAGCAGGCAAAGCAGGCUGUAGCUUUCAGGUUUAAAGCAGCAGUUGACUCACUUCACACCACACCACAUGGGUGUGCCCAAAGCCCUUCAGC